RNAcentral lists this transfer RNA (69 nucleotides) under Caudoviricetes sp. RNAcentral's name for it is "tRNA-Ser". The record is from RNAcentral. Lineage: Duplodnaviria; Heunggongvirae; Uroviricota; Caudoviricetes.
GUUUUUUAAAGAUUUGCAAACGGCCUUCUAAGCCGUAGGUCAGUGGUUCGAAUCCACUAGGGCAGGCCA